This 489-nucleotide ribosomal RNA is filed under the name uncultured bacterium. RNAcentral describes it as "partial 16S ribosomal RNA". It matches the Rfam family "Bacterial small subunit ribosomal RNA", at positions 28 to 507 of the family's 1533-position model. The record is from RNAcentral.
GACGAACGCUGGCGGCGUGCUUAACACAUGCAAGUCGAACGGUGAAGGGACCAGCUUGCUGGUUCUGGAUGAGUGGCGAACGGGUGAGUAACACGUGAGUAACCUGCCCCCUUCUUCUGGAUAACCGCAUGAAAGUGUGGCUAAUACGGGAUAUUCUGGGUCUGUCGCAUGGCGGGCCCGGGAAAGAUAUUGCUUCGGUGGGGGAUGGGCUCGCGGCCUAUCAGCUUGUUGGUGGGGUGAUGGCCUACCAAGGCGGUGACGGGUAGCCGGCCUGAGAGGGUGGACGGUCACACUGGGACUGAGACACGGCCCAGACUCCUACGGGAGGCAGCAGUGGGGAAUAUUGCACAAUGGGCGCAAGCCUGAUGCAGCGAUGCCGCGUGAGGGAUGGAGGCCUUCGGGUUGUAAACCUCUUUCGCCAGUGAAGCAGGCCUGCUCCUUGUGGGUGGGUUGACGGUAGCUGGAUAAGAAGCGCCGGCUAACUACGUG